CCUACGGGAGGCAGCAGUGGGGAAUCUUGCGCAAUGGGCGAAAGCCUGACGCAGCCAUGCCGCGUGAAUGAUGAAGGUCUUAGGAUUGUAAAAUUCUUUCACCGGGGACGAUAAUGACGGUACCCGGAGAAGAAGCCCCGGCUAACUUCGUGCCAGCAGCCGCGGUAAUACGAAGGGGGGCUAGCGUUGCUCGGAAUUACUGGGCGUAAAGGGAGCGUAGGCGGAUAGUUUAGUCAGAGGUGAAAGCCCAGGGCUCAACCUUGGAAUUGCCUUUGAUACUGGCUAUCUUGAGUAUGGGAGAGGUUAGCGGAACUCCGAGUGUAGAGGUGAAAUUCGUAGAUAUUCGGAAGAACACCAGUGGCGAAGGCGGCUAACUGGCCCAUUACUGACGCUGAGGCUCGAAAGCGUGGGGAGCAAACAGGAUUAGAUACCCUGGUAGUCCACGCCGUAAACGAUGAGUGCUAGUUGUCGGCAUGCAUGCAUGUCGUGACGCAGCUACGACAUAAGACACUCCGCCGUCGGGGAGGUGCGGUCGGCGAAGAAUUAAACGUACGAAAGAAGUAGUAGACGCGAGAGAGCGACGACGACGACGACGGAGGAGGAGG
Molecule: ribosomal RNA, 605 nt
Filed under: uncultured bacterium
Lineage: Bacteria
Description: bacterial SSU rRNA
Rfam family: Bacterial small subunit ribosomal RNA (bases 1-517)
Source: RNAcentral